RNAcentral lists this unclassified non-coding RNA (215 nucleotides) under uncultured Simplicillium. RNAcentral's name for it is "sequence contains ITS1". Lineage: Eukaryota; Fungi; Ascomycota; Sordariomycetes; Hypocreales; Cordycipitaceae. The record is from RNAcentral.
CGAGUUUAUCCAACUCCCAACCCUAUGUGAACCUACCUUUAUGUUGCUUCGGCGGUCUCGCGCCGGGCUGCUCCCCUGGGGAGCUCCCGGGACCACGCGUCCGCCGGAGACCACAAACUCUUGAUUUUGCGAAAGCAGUAUUAUUCUGAGUGGCCGAAAGGCAAAAAACAAAUGAAUCAAAACUUUCAACAACGGAUCUCUUGGUUCUGGCAUCG